GUCGGGUAAGUUCCGACCUGCACGAAUGGCGUAACGAUGGCCACACUGUCUCCACCAGAGACUCAGUGAAAUUGAAAUUGCGGUUAAGAUGCCGUAUACCCGCGGCUAGACGGAAAGACCCCGUGAACCUUUACUAUAGCUUCACAGUGAACUUUGAGCAUGUUUGUGUAGGAUAGCUGGGAGGCUUUGAAGUGGGAACGCCAGUUCUCAUGGAGCCAACCUUGAAAUACCAGCCUGACAUGUUUGAGGUUCUAACUUGGUCCCCUUAUCGGGGAUGAGGACACUGUGUGGUGGGUAGUUUGACUGGGGCGGUCUCCUCCCAAAGCGUAACGGAGGAGCACAAAGGUGGGCUAAGCAUGGUCGGACAUCAUGCGGUUAGUGUAAUGGCACAAGCCCGCUUAACUGCGAGACAGACACGUCGAGCAGGUACGAAAGUAGGUCAUAGUGAUCCGGUGGUUCUGUAUGGAAGGGCCAUCGCUCAACGGAUAAAAGGUACUCCGGGG
RNAcentral lists this ribosomal RNA (503 nucleotides) under Gambierdiscus australes. RNAcentral describes it as "partial Bacterial large subunit ribosomal RNA". It matches the Rfam family "Bacterial large subunit ribosomal RNA", at positions 1971 to 2473 of the family's 2925-position model. The record is from RNAcentral. Lineage: Eukaryota; Dinophyceae; Gonyaulacales; Pyrocystaceae.